Molecule: ribosomal RNA, 508 nt
Filed under: Brucella anthropi
Lineage: Bacteria; Pseudomonadati; Pseudomonadota; Alphaproteobacteria; Hyphomicrobiales; Brucellaceae
Description: bacterial SSU rRNA
Rfam family: Bacterial small subunit ribosomal RNA
Source: RNAcentral
GAGCGGCAGACGGGUGAGUAACGCGUGGGAACGUACCUUUUGCUACGGAAUAACUCAGGGAAACUUGUGCUAAUACCGUAUGUGCCCUUCGGGGGAAAGAUUUAUCGGCAAAGGAUCGGCCCGCGUUGGAUUAGCUAGUUGGUGAGGUAAAGGCUCACCAAGGCGACGAUCCAUAGCUGGUCUGAGAGGAUGAUCAGCCACACUGGGACUGAGACACGGCCCAGACUCCUACGGGAGGCAGCAGUGGGGAAUAUUGGACAAUGGGCGCAAGCCUGAUCCAGCCAUGCCGCGUGAGUGAUGAAGGCCCUAGGGUUGUAAAGCUCUUUCACCGGUGAAGAUAAUGACGGUAACCGGAGAAGAAGCCCCGGCUAACUUCGUGCCAGCAGCCGCGGUAAUACGAAGGGGGCUAGCGUUGUUCGGAUUUACUGGGCGUAAAGCGCACGUAGGCGGACUUUUAAGUCAGGGGUGAAAUCCCGGGGCUCAACCCCGGAACUGCCUUUGAUACUGG